AGCGAACGCUGGCGGCAGGCCUAACACAUGCAAGUCGAACGAACCUUUCGGGGUUAGUGGCGGACGGGUGAGAACACGUGGGAACGUGCCCUUAGGUUCGGAAUAACUCAGGGAAACUUGUGCUAAUACCGAAUGUGCCCUUCGGGGGAAAGAUUAAUCGCCUUUAGAGCGGCCCGCGUCUGAUUAGCUAGUUGGUUGAGGUAAUGGCUCACCAAGGCGACGAUCAGUAGCUGGUCUGAGAGGAUGAUCAGCCACAUUGGGACUGAGACACGGCCCAAACUCCUACGGGAGGCAGCAGUGGGGAAUCUUGCGCAAUGGGCGAAAGCCUGACGCAGCCAUGCCGCGUGAAUGAUGAAGGUCUUAGGAUUGUAAAAUUCUUUCACCGGGGACGAUAAUGACGGUACCCGGAGAAGAAGCCCCGGCUAACUUCGUG
This 433-nucleotide ribosomal RNA is filed under the name uncultured bacterium. RNAcentral describes it as "partial 16S ribosomal RNA". It matches the Rfam family "Bacterial small subunit ribosomal RNA", at positions 29 to 507 of the family's 1533-position model. The record is from RNAcentral.